UACAGAGGGGGCAAGCGUUGUUCGGAAUUACUGGGCGUAAAGGGCGCGUAGGCGGCCUUCUAAGUCAGACGUGAAAUCUCUCGGCUCAACCGGGGAACUGCGUCUGAGACUGGAAGGCUUGAAUCCGGGAGAGGGAUGUGGAAUUCCAGGUGUAGCGGUGAAAUGCGUAGAUAUCUGGAGGAACACCGGUGGCGAAGGCGGCAUCCUGGACCGGUAUUGACGCUGAGGCGCGAAAGCCAGGGGAGCAAACGGG
RNAcentral lists this ribosomal RNA (253 nucleotides) under uncultured bacterium. Its description in RNAcentral is "partial 16S ribosomal RNA". It matches the Rfam family "Bacterial small subunit ribosomal RNA", at positions 524 to 776 of the family's 1533-position model. The record is from RNAcentral.